RNAcentral lists this unclassified non-coding RNA (380 nucleotides) under uncultured bacterium. RNAcentral describes it as "contains 16S-23S intergenic spacer region". The record is from RNAcentral.
UCCGGCUUAUCACCGGCAGUUUCUCUAGAGUGCCCAACUAAAUGCUGGCAACAUGCGACGGGGGUUGCGCUCGUUGCGGGACUUAACCCAACAUCUCACGACACGAGCUGACGACAGCCAUGCAGCACCUGUGCAAGCUCCCCUUGCGGGGUCGUCCCACUUUCAUGGUUCUACCACUUGCAUGUCAAGGCCAGGUAAGGUUCUUCGCGUUGCAUCGAAUUAAGCCACAUACUCCACCGCUUGUGCAGGCCCCCGUCAAUUUCUUUGAGUUUUAAUCUUGCGACCGUACCCCCCAGGCGGCAUGUUUAUCGCGUUAGCUUCGCCACGGAAGGGGUCGAUUCCUCCCACAGCGAGUAUCCAUCGUUUACGGCGUGGACUAC